Molecule: long non-coding RNA, 375 nt
Organism: Cyprinus carpio (common carp)
Lineage: Eukaryota; Metazoa; Chordata; Actinopteri; Cypriniformes; Cyprinidae
Source: Ensembl
CACAUACGCUCUGUGACAAUUCUCCUUUCUUUCUUUCUUUCUUUCUUUCUUUCUGCUCUUCAUUCUUCCUCAAUUGCUUUGUCUCACUCUUUUUCACUGAGCAGGUUGGGGCAAGUGUAUCAGCAGUCAGACAGAUUGGUUACUACCCCGGGGUUUUGGGAAUUUGCUGGCUCUCUCGAGGGACAGAAAAAAAGAGGACGUGAUAAGAGGAGUGAGAGGUGUAGAUGGACUGCCAUCAUGUGGAUCUGCUGCCCACUGCUUCUGCAGAGAGAGGAAAAACUGACCCACAGAGGGCUUACCUUUCUACACUGCAUGGUGGGUGGUGCAGUGAUGCUACCAUAUUAUAAUAUUAAUAGUUGAGCUUAAAAUAUUAAU